This 424-nucleotide ribosomal RNA is filed under the name uncultured cyanobacterium. RNAcentral describes it as "bacterial SSU rRNA". It matches the Rfam family "Bacterial small subunit ribosomal RNA", at positions 357 to 795 of the family's 1533-position model. The record is from RNAcentral. Lineage: Bacteria; Bacillati; Cyanobacteriota.
GGGAAUUUUCCGCAAUGGGCGAAAGCCUGACGGAGCAAUGCCGCGUGGAGGAGGAAGGCCUGUGGGUCGUAAACUCCUUUUCUCAGAGAAGAAGUUCUGACGGUAUCUGAGGAAUAAGCAUCGGCUAACUCUGUGCCAGCAGCCGCGGUAAUACAGGGGAUGCAAGCGUUAUCCGGAAUUAUUGGGCGUAAAGCGUCCUGAGGUGGCUUACCCAGUCGACUGUGAAAGCUCAAGGCUUAACCUUGAAACGGCAGUCGAAACUUGUAAGCUUGAGUACGGUAGGGGCAGAGGGAAUUCCCGGAGGAGAGGUGAAAUUCGUAGAUAUCGGGAGGAAGGCCAAAGGCGAAAGCACUCUGCUGGGCCGAUUACUGACACUGACAGACGAAAGCUAGGGGAGCGAAAGGGAUUAGAUACCCCUGUAGUC